GGCCUUCGUAAAGGAGGUCGAAAGGUAUCCCUAUGGGCAUAGCAGAUCAUGCAGAUGCUCACUAGAAAUUGUUCAGGGAGAUUCAUCACCUCCUCUUGUGAAUGUGAUUGGCAUGUAAUAGUUGUGGUAGAGUGGCUGUCUUUUCACGUCCAAUGUAGCAUACACUUUCAAAUCCCAUUGCAACACACAGAUUGACGUAGUUUUUUUGUUUUCUCUUCUAGUUAAUGAAUUGCUUAAGUGGAGUCAUUGGGCAAAUUUGGAGCAUCAAAUACUAUUGUUCUAGGUGUUGGUUUUGAAUACUUGAAUCUACAAUUGGAGUCAAAAGGGUUUCCAAUGGAUACAUUGUUGAUGGUCCAUAAUCCAUUCUGGUCUAGCAGUUUAAUUUUUUAAAAUUUCUUUUAAAAUCUUUUUCACCUAAUUUCCUUCAAUUUGAAGUCUUUUCUGUCAAUAAGUUCGAUUCUUUCACACACACACACACACAAAUAGAGUCUCUCUCUCUCUCUCUCUCUCUCUCUCUCUCUCUCUCAUUUUGGUAGUUCUCCCUUUUGGGAGAAUCGGUCAGAGAUUUUCCAAGUUUGAUUCCAUUUUUUGAUUUGAAUUUAAAAGAUAAGGUAGAAUUAUAGUGAUUUUUUUGUGAAUUACCAGAAAUAUAAUGAUUUAUUGAAUUUAAAAGAUUACUUGGAUCAUUUUUUUGAUUUGAAUUUAAAAUAUAGUGAUUUGAAUUAUUUGUUCUUGGUUACUGAAAAUACUUGGAGAUCACACAAUACAUGCCAAAUUGAUAAAUGUAGGAAAGACAUGUGCAUGUAGAUUAUGCACCCUCUUGUUAUGGUGUUAUGAUGUCUGAGUCCUAUUGUGAUUUGCAUUGGGAGAGAAAAGUAUAGGAGAUUUAUUCCAGAACCUGCUACCAUCUGACCCAAAUUUACUGAAUUCCUGGGCAUGCAUAAGCCAUAAACCUUUCGAAAAGAAAUUGAUCCGAAGAAACCAUUUUCUUAUGCAAAUUAAUUAAAUACCUUUUUGAAGAAUUUCUGGAUGCUAAGAUUGAAGAGGGUCAACUGAUUGCAGCAGCUGAUUAACAAGUAGCUUCCAAAAUGGGAAGAGUACUUGAAGCUGCUAAUGAUCAAUCUUGCAAGAAUUAAACAUGAAAAGAAGACAACAUGAACCAUAAGCUUGACGAUGCAACAACAUCACUACUGCAACGUAAACGAUAAGAUUGACAUUGAAAGGUGUGGCACAAAACCCAAGCCAAACAGUGAUUUGCUGUUCCCUACCAGUAUCACACUCAAUGAGACGAAGUACUCAUUAUGCUCUCAACUCAUGGAAAUGCAUAUUGCGGAAAUCCCAAUCUUGGAAAAUGGAAUAUCGAAAAUCACAAACUAUGAAAAGCUGCUUAUUGCCUCAAUGAGUUCGUCGUUGAUGUUGUAAUUUAUUCGUCUCCCCGCAACCAAUGAGAUAUGGGAGGUUGUGUCGAAAACCUUCUAUGAUGGAUCAGAUGAAACCAGUAUCUUUGAAUUGAACCAGAGAUCUUUUUCUACCACACAAAAUGGUCGAUCAAUAUCAACAUACUAUAAUGAACUUGUUGUUAUUUUUCAGGAAAUCGAUCACAAGACUAUCUCUCAGGAAGGAACAGUUGAAGGGGUGGUCCAGUUGCGUUCUACGAUGCCUAGGCUUCAGGUUCAUAUUUUUUCUGAGUGGACUUGACUCUGAAUUUGGUCAGGUCCGUGGAGAAAUCUUAUGAAAAGACCCAAAACUUGAUUUGAAGAGAGAAUAUCAACAAAGACAGACAAUAGGAGGCUUGUCCAAUCUCUGAGAGCUCGGCUAUACUGGCCAACCAAACUUGAGAAGGGCCAUCGUCUGGCUCGUCGAAGAAUUGAAAUAAUCAAUCAACUGGAAAGUUUGGCUGCCUGGAAGGGCAAACUCUACUACUUGGAGUUGACAUAAAAUUGGGGAUCGAAAUUUGGUCAAGCGAAUCUAACUAGUAUCGAAGACAAAGCUCGAGCAACUACAUGGCUGUGGCAUCGAAGACUAGGACAUCUUACUUUUGGUUAUCUUAGAAAAUUACAACCACAUUUUUUUCAGUUAUGAACGAUUUGGAUUUUUAUUGUGAGAUUUGCGAACUGGCUAAGAGCCAUCAUAUUUCUUAUUUACCAAGUCUGAAUAAAAGUUCAGAACCUUUUGUGG
This is a long non-coding RNA of Malania oleifera, 2178 nucleotides long. RefSeq lists it as uncharacterized. The transcript has 2 exons. The record is from RefSeq and is a predicted model, not a curated record. NCBI's taxonomy places the organism in Eukaryota, Viridiplantae, Streptophyta, Magnoliopsida, Santalales, Ximeniaceae.